GAGCAUCUACUGCUAAUGAUGCAGAUGCCCAGGGAGCCAAGGCAAUCAGAUUUGAUUGUGAGGUUCCAGGUUCCUUUGAAGAACCAAACAUGGGUCACUGACUUAUGGAUUUUUUCUCCAGUGCUCACUGAGACGCAUUCAUUCUGCUUCAAAAUGGCAUCAGUCACGGGAAGGUUAAAGGACUCUUCCAGGCUUCACAGGGCAGCCUUUUAUUUCUGCUCCUGGGAGGUAGGGAUUGGAUGUGGCCCAGGAAGACUACUUUGCCUCAGGUUUUCUCUCAAGAGGCCUCUAAGCAGUCCUUCAGUGAACUCCACCCCAAGGCUGAAACCCAACGUCUUCCCUCAGGAGCUCGAGGCUCUUGGAAAGAAGAUAAAAUCUAAGAGUGAUAACCUUGGGGAUAGCCCAGGCCCAAAAUGCUCAUCCUCCAGGCCUGAGUCAGAGGCCUUAGCUGAAUAUUCACUCAACAUCUGCUGUAUCUGUAGAGAGUCAUGAAACUUAGGAGUUUGGAGAAUGUGAACAAGUCCA
Molecule: long non-coding RNA, 525 nt
Filed under: Equus caballus (horse)
Lineage: Eukaryota; Metazoa; Chordata; Mammalia; Perissodactyla; Equidae
Description: lncRNA (ENSECAG00000044637.1)
Source: RNAcentral